AUUUCUUAAUUAUAUUUAUAUAGUUUAAUGUAAAACAUUACAUUUUCAUUGUAAAAUUAAAUAUUAUUUUUUAUAA
RNAcentral lists this transfer RNA (76 nucleotides) under Microtrichalus sp. BM0120. Its description in RNAcentral is "tRNA-Glu". Lineage: Eukaryota; Metazoa; Arthropoda; Insecta; Coleoptera; Lycidae. The record is from RNAcentral.